RNAcentral lists this ribosomal RNA (439 nucleotides) under uncultured bacterium. RNAcentral describes it as "partial 16S ribosomal RNA". It matches the Rfam family "Bacterial small subunit ribosomal RNA", at positions 339 to 795 of the family's 1533-position model. The record is from RNAcentral.
CUACGGGGUGCUGCAGUGGGGGAUAUUGCACAAUGGGGGAAACCCUGAUGCAGCGACGCCGCGUGAACGAUGAAGUAUUUCGGUAUGUAAAGUUCUAUCAGCAGGGAAGAUAAUGACGGUACCUGACUAAGAAGCACCGGCUAAAUACGUGCCAGCAGCCGCGGUAAUACGUAUGGUGCAAGCGUUAUCCGGAUUUACUGGGUGUCAAGGGUGCGUAGGUGGUAUGGCAAGUCAGAAGUGAAAGCACGGGGCUCAACCCCGUAACUGCUUUUGAAACUGUCAAACUAGAGUGCAGGAGAGGAAAGCGGAAUUCCUAGUGUAGCGGUGAAAUGCGUAGAUAUUAGGAGGAACACCAGUGGCGAAGGCGGCUUUCUGGACUGUAACUGACACUGAGGCACGAAAGCGUGGGGAGCAAACAGGAUUAGAUACCCCUGUAGUC